UCAUGUCCAGUUGUGACAUAAACAAUUGUGGUGAAGAUAUUCUGUAUUUAUCAGGUCAACAUGCACUUUACCUACGUUUCUUUUCUUCAGGUUGCUGCUGUGGAGCUGAAAACGUGGAGGAAACGACUGAACCAAAGGUUUCUGUAAGAUUAUCACAGGCAAGGAAUCCCAAGUUAGCCUUGUCUUCCCAGAAGAGCCACCCCUGUGAGGGUUGUGGGCUGGUCUUGGGAAACAUUUUCCACAUGAUGGAGGGUCAGGAAACACAACACAGACAGAUAUUGUUGAGAUGUGGGGCAUGUGCAAAACAAUUUUAUUUCCGAGCAAAAUUUCACCAGCAGCAUAUGAGAGAGAAGUCUUUCACUAGAGGUGUGGACAGGAUCUCACUUGCAAACAGCUGCAAUUUCAAUGUGUCCCAGAGUCGUUUCACAUGCGGGGAGGUUGGGCACGGUGUCCUUACGGGGUCAGGACAUUUACACCUAAAGGCUAUUCAGGCCAGGAACAGUCCAACUGCAAUUUCGACCUGUGCCAUGACAUUUCAAAGGAUAGAAAAUUAUUACAGUAGAAAAGAAUGUCAGAGAGACAUUAGUUGCACCCACACCUUUAUUCAGGAAAAAGGUGUCCAUCUUGGAAGUGGGUGUUUUAUGUCCUCUGAAUGUGGAAAAUAUUUUACCAAGUUAUCUAGCUUUCAUUAUCAACAAAGAGGUCACACGAGAGAAAAGCCUUAUGAAUGCAGUGAGUGUGGGAAAGCUUACACCAGUAGCACUGGACUUCGUCGUCAUCAGAGAUUUCAUAUGGGAGAAAAACCUUAUAAAUGCAGUGAAUGUGGGGAAUCUUUUACACAGAGCACUAAACUUCGUUAUCAUCAGACAGUUCAUACAGGAGAAAAGUCUUAUAAAUGCAGUCAAUGUGAAAAAUCCUUUAAAAGUAGCAGUGGUCUUCAAUAUCAUCAGAGAGUUCACACUGGAGAGAGGCCUUAUAAAUGCAGUGAAUGUGGAAAAUCUUUUGCACGGAGCAGUGCCCUUCGUUGUCAUCGGAUAGUUCACACGGGAGAAAAGCCUUAUCAAUGCAAUGAAUGUGGGAAAUCUUUUACCUCUAAGACCGUCCUUCAUCGUCAUCAGAGAAUUCAUACUGGAGAAAAGCCUUAUACAUGCAGUGAAUGUGGAAAAUCUUUUGCACUGAGCACUGCCCUUCGUUAUCAUCAGAGAGUUCACACUGGAGAAAAGCCUUAUCAAUGCAGUGAAUGUGGAAAAUCUUUUACCACUAGCGUUGCCCUUCAUUGUCAUAAGAGAAUUCACACUGGGGAAAAGCCUUAUCAAUGCAGUGAAUGUGGGAAAUCUUUUACCCAGAGCACUCACCUUCGUUUUCAUCAGAGUCUUCAUACAGGAGAAAAGCCUUUUAAAUGCAGUGAAUGUGGGAAAUCUUUUACCCAGAGCACUCACCUUCGUUUUCAUCAGAGAGUUCAUACAGGAGAAAAGCCUUAUAAAUGCAGUGAAUGUGGGAAAUCUUUUACAAGGAGCAGAAGUCUUCAAUAUCAUCAGAGAGUUCACACUGGAGAAAAUCAUGAGUGCAGUUAAUAUGAGGUAUCUCUCAACCAAAUUUCUAAAUUUGCUCUGCACAUAUGAGUCCAAAUGUGAGAAAUUUCUUAGAUGUGUAGGAAAUGUAGUUUCUUAGUUAGAUCCUAACAUUAGUACAAAAAAAUUUAUGUAUCCUCAUUUUUCUGAAUUGUAUCUCAUACUUUUAAUCACCUACAUUAUGUAAAGUUCCCAUAAGUGUUCUUGUUGUGUUUGUUUUUAUGUUGGAACACUGUGUAAUUAUGUUGCACGUUCUAACAUACAGAGAUGUCCUGCCAGAUCAAUGUCACUGCAUCUUUCUGUUGUAGAAGGUAUUUCAUCUGAACCACCUAUAAGGUCCCUACAUACGGCGUCAAUCACCAUUGUCAUGUGCCCGGGGAAGCUAACUCUGUUGUCUUUUUUGUUGAAGAAAAUGAGGAAUACCUGAGUCCAUAGUUCUUUCUUGUUUUCCUGUCAUGCGUUGCCACAUAGAACUGAUUAUUGUUGGCCUCAGUAAACAUAAUGUUGCAGAGGGAAUGCUUUCCCUGAAUGCCAGUGAUGAAUUUAUUGAGUGCCUGAGUCAUCAGUGGAAGAACUGCCAUUCUCCUGUCUCUUUGGUUCUAACUCCCCAGUAUGGACAAAAAUGAUGGCACACAGUAAACUUAGCAAGCUCAGGGGGCCUGGCAUGGCAUGGGCAAUCUUGCAAACUCAGAGGCUAAGACGAACCAUAUAGGAUGCUUUGAAGUUAAAACUUUCCAAGUAAAAGCUAGUCACCUGGGUAUGUAUGUACUAGCCUGUUUUUUUGUUUGUUUGUUUUUGCAAAGAACAAAUUUUACCUUACUGAACCUGUCGUCUUUUUGCAUCUCGGAUAACAUACCUUUGGAUUUUUAUGGACAUUUCUGUUUCACAGACUCCUAAGAGAACAAUCUCCUAAUGCAGAAGAUCACAGAGCCCCAAUUAGUGUUGCUCUCGAGUUAAAUACUAACUGUUAUACUAAUCGAUAAUCAUGUAAAAAUAAGUGUGUGUCUAUUUUUUUUUAUUGUUUACUCAAUACCAGGGAUUUCUCUCCUUAGCUCUCCCCUCUAAUUUAUCACCAGUGGAUGUCAUGUAAUCCACUUAUGUCCUCUCCUUUGAUUCUAAUGUAUAAAAAAGGUGCGAAACUGCCAUUCUCCUGAGCGUUACUCAACCUGUUGUUAUUUUGCUUUCUGGCAAAUGUCAUGACUAGGGUCAAAUAAACUAAGAAAAAUUCUCAA
Myotis lucifugus (little brown bat) is the source of this 2803-nucleotide RNA transcript. It is a transcript of the gene named zinc finger protein 501-like, with no coding region annotated. The record is from RefSeq and is a predicted model, not a curated record. Lineage: Eukaryota; Metazoa; Chordata; Mammalia; Chiroptera; Vespertilionidae. The transcript is spliced from 2 exons.